RNAcentral lists this ribosomal RNA (120 nucleotides) under Zalophus californianus (California sea lion). Lineage: Eukaryota; Metazoa; Chordata; Mammalia; Carnivora; Otariidae. The record is from RNAcentral.
GUCUAUGGCCAUACCACCCUGAAUGCGCCCGAUCUCGUCUGAUCUCGGAAGCUAAGCAGGGUCGGGCCUGGUUAGUACUUGGAUGGGAGACCACUUGGGAAUAAUUAGAGACAGUUUACA